GACGAACGCUGGCGGCGUGCCUAACACAUGCAAGUCGAGCGGAGUCGAUCGACGGAAGCCUUCGGGCGGAAGAUGGUUGACUUAGCGGCGGAUGGGUGAGUAACGCGUGGGCAACCUGCCUCGAAGACCGGGAUAACAGUCCGAAAGGGCUGCUAAUACCGGAUGUGGUCAAGGAUCCGCAUGGAUUUUUGAUUAAAGGGGAAACCCGUUUCGAGAUGGGCCCGCGUCCUAUCAGCUAGUUGGUGAGGUAAAAGCUCACCAAGGCGACGACGGGUAGCCGGCCUGAGAGGGUGACCGGCCACACUGGAACUGAGACACGGUCCAGACUCCUACGGGGGGCAGCAGUGGGGAAUCUUCCACAAUGGGCGAAAGCCUGAUGGAGCGACGCCGCGUGAGCGAAGAAGGCCUUCGGUUGUAAAGCUCUGUCUGGAGGGACGAAGGAAGUGACGGUACCUCCGGAGGAAGCCACGGCUAACUACGUGCCAGCAGCCGCGGUAAGAGUAGUACA
Molecule: ribosomal RNA, 508 nt
Filed under: uncultured bacterium
Lineage: Bacteria
Description: bacterial SSU rRNA
Rfam family: Bacterial small subunit ribosomal RNA
Source: RNAcentral